AUUGAACGCUGGCGGCAGGCCUAACACAUGCAAGUCGAACGAGCGGCGGACGGGUGAGUAAUGCCUAGGAAUCUGCCUGGUAGUGGGGGAUAACUACUGGAAACGGUAGCUAAUACCGCAUACCAUCGGAUGUGCCCAGAUGGGAUUAGCUAGUAGGUGGGGGAAAGGAUCACCUAGGCGACGAUCCCUAGCUGGUCUGAGAGGAUGACCAGCCACACUGGAACUGAGACACGGGCCAGACUCCUACGGGAGGCAGCAGUGGGGAAUAUUGCACAAUGGGCGCAAGCCUGAUGCAGCCAUGCCGCGUGUAUGAAGAAGGCCUUCGGGUUGUAAAGUACUUUCAGCGGGGAGGCGUUACCCACAGAAGAAGCACCGGCUAACUCCGUGCCAGCAGCCGCGGUAAUAC
This 406-nucleotide ribosomal RNA is filed under the name uncultured bacterium. Its description in RNAcentral is "partial 16S ribosomal RNA". It matches the Rfam family "Bacterial small subunit ribosomal RNA", at positions 30 to 526 of the family's 1533-position model. The record is from RNAcentral.